AUGGUUUUAUUAUCAAAAGAGACCGUAUUUUUGUUGUAGUGCACAUUGCAGUAGCUCCUCUUUUCACCCUUUGUGUUGAGCUCUCUGUUUUAGCUACAGAGUGAGGUAUCACACUUCUAUACUAUCUUUGUUGGGAGUCGCACAUGCGCAGU
Molecule: long non-coding RNA, 152 nt
Organism: Etheostoma spectabile (orangethroat darter)
Lineage: Eukaryota; Metazoa; Chordata; Actinopteri; Perciformes; Percidae
Exons: 3
Source: RefSeq, a predicted model, not a curated record